This 472-nucleotide ribosomal RNA is filed under the name uncultured bacterium. RNAcentral's name for it is "partial 16S ribosomal RNA". It matches the Rfam family "Bacterial small subunit ribosomal RNA", at positions 28 to 507 of the family's 1533-position model. The record is from RNAcentral.
GACGAACGCUGGCGGCGUGCUUAACACAUGCAAGUCGAACGAUGAGCCCGGAGCUUGCUCUGGGGGAUUAGUGGCGAACGGGUGAGUAACACGUGAGUAACCUGCCCUGGACUCUGGGAUAAGCGUUGGAAACGACGUCUAAUACCGGAUAGGACCUUGGAUCGCAUGAUCUGGGGUGGAAAGUUUUUUCGGUCUGGGAUGGACUCGCGGCCUAUCAGCUUGUUGGUGAGGUAAUGGCUCACCAAGGCGUCGACGGGUAGCCGGCCUGAGAGGGUGACCGGCCACACUGGGACUGAGACACGGCCCAGACUCCUACGGGAGGCAGCAGUGGGGAAUAUUGCACAAUGGGCGAAAGCCUGAUGCAGCAACGCCGCGUGCGGGAUGACGGCCGUCGGGUUGUAAACCGCUUUUAGUAGGGAAGAAGGGCUUCGGCUUGACGGUACCUGCAGAAAAAGGACCGGCUAACUACGUG